RNAcentral lists this ribosomal RNA (1561 nucleotides) under Bacillus thuringiensis. RNAcentral describes it as "partial 23S ribosomal RNA". It matches the Rfam family "Bacterial large subunit ribosomal RNA", at positions 1 to 1551 of the family's 2925-position model. Lineage: Bacteria; Bacillati; Bacillota; Bacilli; Caryophanales; Bacillaceae. The record is from RNAcentral.
GUUUGGUUAAGUUAGAAAGGGCGCACGGUGGAUGCCUUGACACUAGGAGUCGAUGAAGGACGGGACUAACGCCGAUAUGCUUCGGGGAGCUGUAAGUAAGCUUUGAUCCGAAGAUUUCCGAAUGGGGAAACCCACCAUACGUAAUGGUAUGGUAUCCUUAUCUGAAUACAUAGGGUAAGGAAGACAGACCCAGGGAACUGAAACAUCUAAGUACCUGGAGGAAGAGAAAGCAAAUGCGAUUUCCUGAGUAGCGGCGAGCGAAACGGAACAUAGCCCAAACCAAGAGGCUUGCCUCUUGGGGUUGUAGGACAUUCUAUACGGAGUUACAAAGGAACGAGGUAGACGAAGCGACCUGGAAAGGUCCGUCGUAGAGGGUAACAACCCCGUAGUCGAAACUUCGUUCUCUCUUGAAUGUAUCCUGAGUACGGCGGAACACGUGAAAUUCCGUCGGAAUCUGGGAGGACCAUCUCCCAAGGCUAAAUACUCCCUAGUGAUCGAUAGUGAACCAGUACCGUGAGGGAAAGGUGAAAAGCACCCCGGAAGGGGAGUGAAAGAGAUCCUGAAACCGUGUGCCUACAAAUAGUCAGAGCCCGUUAACGGGUGAUGGCGUGCCUUUUGUAGAAUGAACCGGCGAGUUACGAUCCCGUGCGAGGUUAAGCUGAAGAGGCGGAGCCGCAGCGAAAGCGAGUCUGAAUAGGGCGUUUAGUACGUGGUCGUAGACCCGAAACCAGGUGAUCUACCCAUGUCCAGGGUGAAGUUCAGGUAACACUGAAUGGAGGCCCGAACCCACGCACGUUGAAAAGUGCGGGGAUGAGGUGUGGGUAGCGGAGAAAUUCCAAUCGAACCUGGAGAUAGCUGGUUCUCCCCGAAAUAGCUUUAGGGCUAGCCUUAAGUGUAAGAGUCUUGGAGGUAGAGCACUGAUUGGACUAGGGGUCCUCAUCGGAUUACCGAAUUCAGUCAAACUCCGAAUGCCAAUGACUUAUCCUUAGGAGUCAGACUGCGAGUGAUAAGAUCCGUAGUCAAAAGGGAAACAGCCCAGACCGCCAGCUAAGGUCCCAAAGUGUGUAUUAAGUGGAAAAGGAUGUGGAGUUGCUUAGACAACUAGGAUGUUGGCUUAGAAGCAGCCACCAUUUAAAGAGUGCGUAAUAGCUCACUAGUCGAGUGACUCUGCGCCGAAAAUGUACCGGGGCUAAAUACACCACCGAAGCUGCGGAUUGAUACCAAUGGUAUCAGUGGUAGGGGAGCGUUCUAAGGACAGUGAAGUCAGACCGUAAGGACUGGUGGAGUGCUUAGAAGUGAGAAUGCCGGUAUGAGUAGCGAAAGACGGGUGAGAAUCCCGUCCACCGAAUGCCUAAGGUUUCCUGAGGAAGGCUCGUCCGCUCAGGGUUAGUCAGGACCUAAGCCGAGGCCGACAGGCGUAGGCGAUGGACAACAGGUUGAUAUUCCUGUACCACCUCUUUAUCGUUUGAGCAAUGGAGGGACGCAGAAGGAUAGAAGAAGCGUGCGAUUGGUUGUGCACGUCCAAGCAGUUAGGCUGAUAAGUAGGCAAAUCCGCUUAUCG